UUCGCAAUGCCCGAAAGGGUGACGAAGCGACGCCGCGUGUGGGAAGAAGGCCUUCGGGUUGUAAACCACUGUCGGGAGUUAGGAAAUGUAAGGGCGUUAAUAGUAUCCUUACUUGACUAAGGCUCCGGAGGAAGCCACGGCUAACUCUGUGCCAGCAGCCGCGGUAAUACAGAGGCGGCAAGCGUUGUUCGGAAUUAUUGGGCGUAAAGAGCACGUAGGCGGCCUUGUAAGUCAGUUGUGAAAGCCUUCUGCUUAACGGAAGAACAGCAGCUGAUACUGCAAGGCUAGAGUGCGGAAGGGGAGAGUGGAACUUCUGGUGGAGCGGUGAAAUGCGUAGAUAUCAGAAGGAACACCGGCGGCGAAGGCGACUCUCUGGUCCGUAACUGACGCUGAGUGUGCGAAAGCUAGGGGAGCGAACGGGAUUAGAUACCCCGGUAGUCCUAGCCGUAAAC
RNAcentral lists this ribosomal RNA (452 nucleotides) under uncultured bacterium. Its description in RNAcentral is "bacterial SSU rRNA". It matches the Rfam family "Bacterial small subunit ribosomal RNA", at positions 365 to 807 of the family's 1533-position model. The record is from RNAcentral.